UCCCUGAUGGUUUAGUGGUUAGGACUCAGCACUUUUACUGUUGUGGCCUAGGUUCAAUCCCUGGUCGGGGAA
Sus scrofa (pig) is the source of this 72-nucleotide non-coding RNA. The record is from Rfam. Lineage: Eukaryota; Metazoa; Chordata; Mammalia; Artiodactyla; Suidae.